UGGGGAAUUUUGGACAAUGGGCGCAAGCCUGAUCCAGCAAUGCCGCGUGAGUGAAGAAGGCCUUCGGGUUGUAAAGCUCUUUUGUCAGGGAAGAAACGGUGGGGGCUAAUAUCCUCUGCUAAUGACGGUACCUGAAGAAUAAGCACCGGCUAACUACGUGCCAGCAGCCGCGGUAAUACGUAGGGUGCAAGCGUUAAUCGGAAUUACUGGGCGUAAAGCGUGCGCAGGCGGUUUUGUAAGUUUGUCGUGAAAUCCCCGGGCUCAACCUGGGAAUUGCGAUGAAGACUGCAAGGCUAGAAUCUGGCAGAGGGGGGUAGAAUUCCACGUGUAGCAGUGAAAUGCGUAGAGAUGUGGAGGAACACCGAUGGCGAAGGCAGCCCCCUGGGUCAAGAUUGACGCUCAUGCACGAAAGCGUGGGGAGCAAACAGGAUUAGAUACCCCCGUAGUCC
Molecule: ribosomal RNA, 449 nt
Filed under: uncultured bacterium
Lineage: Bacteria
Description: bacterial SSU rRNA
Rfam family: Bacterial small subunit ribosomal RNA
Source: RNAcentral